Molecule: ribosomal RNA, 443 nt
Filed under: uncultured Glomeromycotina
Lineage: Eukaryota; Fungi; Glomeromycota
Description: SSU rRNA
Rfam family: Eukaryotic small subunit ribosomal RNA
Source: RNAcentral
AGCAGCCGCGGUAAUUCCAGCUCCAAUAGCGUAUAUUAAAGUUGUUGCAGUUAAAAAGCUCGUAGUUGAAUUUCGGGGUUAGUAGUUUGGUCGUGCUAAUGGUAUGUACUGGGCUCACUGAUUCCUCCUUCCUGAUGAACUGUAAUGCCAUUAAUUUGGUGUUGCAGGGAAACAGGACUGUUACUUUGAAAAAUUAGAGUGUUUAAAGCAAGCUAACGCUUGAAUACAUUAGCAUGGAAUAAUGAAAUAGGACGUUCGAACCUAUUUUGUUGGUUUCUAGGAUUGACGUAAUGAUUAAUAGGGAUAGUUGGGGGCAUUAGUAUUCAAUUGUCAGAGGUGAAAUUCUUGGAUUUAUUGAAGACUAACUACUGCGAAAGCAUUUUGCCAAGGAUGUUUUCAUUAAUCAAGAGCGAAAGUUAGGGGAUCGAAGACGAUCAGAUACC